Cyanistes caeruleus (blue tit) is the source of this 1750-nucleotide long non-coding RNA. The record is from Ensembl. NCBI's taxonomy places the organism in Eukaryota, Metazoa, Chordata, Aves, Passeriformes, Paridae.
AGCAGUGCAGACUUUGACUAAAGCCAGGCACAUUUCAGUGGAGGGAGCCAACUGAAAGCUUCAUCCCUAGCUGAUAUAAACCCACACCUUUGUGGCUGGUACCAACUGAGCCAUGGAACAGAGAGGGUAAAUCCACCCCAAAGGGCAAGUGGAUGGAGCUGAGCUUUUCCUGCACAGACCUGUGAUAAGUGUAAUCAGCUGGAGCUGACACUGCUUAAUCUGGGCUGGCAGGAAGGCCAUUUAGCAGUAUGUCCUUGACAUGAGUAUCUCUCCUCUACAGUUAUCACAGAGCCCAGACUCACUGAGUUUCAGGGAAUGCAAUGUGGUUCAGAAGAGGAAUCUGAGUCUCUUGGCCUUUCCCUAUGGGAAUAUGCAUGUGCAGAAGGGGGAAGAUGGAUCUCACCCUGCUCAGAACAUGUAUUAUUGAUCUUGAGCAGCAGUGACUGCUACAGGAAGAUGGAUUGGCUGCUCUUUUUGACAAGAGUGAUGAGGCCAGGAUUUUCUCUUGUUAUAAUUGAUCAUGCUGGUAAGGGAAGGAUGAAGACUAAAGCUCCCCUUCUUUGGAAAAACACAGUCUACAUUUUCUUCUCUUCUGCUCCAAUUCAUUCACCUGUCUGUUGGGAUUGCAGACUGCUGGAACAUUUAAGCAGGCCAGGAGUGAAAGGAGAAAAACCCUUUUGUGAGCCAUCUCCGACUGAGCCCUCCUGGCACAGUGUGGCCUCAGAAGAGCAGUGUUUUAUAGACUUGUGAUUGUUUUCAUCAGUCCUCUUUGAGAAGACACUCUCCCACAGAAGUAAGACAAGAAAAUUGUGCCUGGAGCUGGAGUGGGGUUAGGGGUCAGCAGGCAGCCCUGUGUGACUCAGGGCUGAGGAAUGUGCAACCAGAGCCUGCUCCUGCGUGGGCACAGUCCUCCCAUGGCACCACUCUCUGCUCAGCAUCCAUCACUGGUGUCACCUGGGCUAACUGGAGCGGCUCCUGUGGCAUGCUGCAGUCCAGAAAUGGUUCCUAAGGCUUUCCCAGUGUUAUUCCCCAAUGUGUGGAGCAAACAGGAAACACUGGGUUUGGGUAGCCUCUUGGUCAGGUUCAUAGUCCCAUCCCAGUACAAGUGAUGGGUGAGGAAGGCUGCAGAUGGAAAAUAUACCAUCAGACCAGCUAUUUCAACUGGGAACAGUCUGUUAGCAGUGGUUUGCAGCUCCAGAUGGUUAUCCUGGUUUCUCAUCCCUUUCAGUCUCGCUGACAGAGGCUUCUGCCACCUCGGUUUCACCGGAUUCAUUUGCCCAGCUGUGUAAAAUGACCAAGUUUAAGUAACCCUGUUGACCUUCUAGAGAAGGGCUGCUCUGUGCUCCCUGCAGAGAAGAAAUUCCUGGAGAUGAUGAUGUAAGCCUGGUCAGAAAUAUGGUCUUUCUUUCCACAGCUUUUUGCCAGAUCACAUUUUUUUUUACUGUCUCAAAACCAGAGAAAUAUUAGUGAAUAUUAUUUGCGGAUAAUGCCACAGGAGUUGGCUAGUUCUCUUUAAUGCCACAGGAGUUGGCUAGUUCUCUUACUUUGUAGGAACUCUUUGUGUCAAAUGCUCCCAGCAAUUGCUAACAUUAACUCAAGCAGUGUGACAGAUGAUGUAAAAGAAAGUUUUAUUACCUUUGAUUCUCAGAGGUGCCCCAAAAUACCCAGGCCCACCCAAGGCCUCUUUCAAGCUGCACUGUGAAGCAGGAGCUGGUUGAAACACAGAGCCUGUUGUGCAGGACCAGCUGUG